This is a long non-coding RNA of Zeugodacus cucurbitae (melon fly), 344 nucleotides long. RefSeq lists it as uncharacterized. The record is from RefSeq and is a predicted model, not a curated record. NCBI's taxonomy places the organism in Eukaryota, Metazoa, Arthropoda, Insecta, Diptera, Tephritidae. The transcript is spliced from 2 exons.
AAUGCCUCACUUCGAAAUUUGACAUUUGUUGAAUUUGUGUCAUGCGAUAAAAAUAUAUACACACAAACACAUAUCUGUGGCUGUGCACGUAGAGAAAACGUUAAUGGAAAUAAAAAAAUUGAAAUUUAAUCAAUGUGUCCAUAAUAAUAAAAUAAAACGUUGAAACAACAAAAAGACAUAAAAUUAUCAUGGCACAUCACAAAAAUUAAUGUUUUGUUAAUUGAGUGUCGUCGUGGGACUUUGCACAAUGGAGUGGAGUUGAAUUGAGGCUGAGCGGCGGCACACAUGUAAAUUCAUAUAAAUAAAUAUUACGAAUGCGCAAAGCGUAUUUUGAAUUUAAUUAA